Molecule: long non-coding RNA, 856 nt
Organism: Arachis duranensis
Lineage: Eukaryota; Viridiplantae; Streptophyta; Magnoliopsida; Fabales; Fabaceae
Exons: 3
Source: RefSeq, a predicted model, not a curated record
UGCAACAUGAAUUAACAUUUUUCAAGAGAGUGAUUACACGAAGGAAGCUGCUAAUGCAAAACUGUUUGCAAAUAACUUUAAGAACAUGGAUUAUGUGAAAGUUCAUGCAAUCAUUUGGGAUUAUACCACACCACAGAUGCUUACAAUGGAGUAUAUUCCAGGGAUUAAAAUAAACAAAAUACAAGCAUUAGAUGAGUUGGGUGUUGACCAAAAAAGGUAGCAAUACUAGUUCCAGGUUAACCAAUUUCAUACUCUCCUUGAUUGUUUGGCCAACAAAGUUCCUGAAAAAGUUGUCCCAAGAUUCGUCCACACUUUUAGGAUCAGCUUCCCAAGCUCUUUGAAGCUCCUCAAGAUACACACUGCUUGUUCCAUCGAAGAAGUUGUCAGUCAAUUUGGAAAGGGGAACAACACGCGGCACAGGUGCUGAUUCUGCUUUGGAUUUGAAACUUGUGGUGUGGAAGUUUCUAGAAGCUGGUGGAAUUGGAACUACCGUAGUCCUUGCUACCCCUAUAGAUAUUUCUUCUAACCGCAUGCUUAGCAAUGCUGGAAGCAGCUCUAAACCAUGCCAUGGUUUCUCACAAUCAAGAAUAUCAACAAUUUCUCAAUACCAUCAGUAUUCCCUAAUUCCUAUCAAUGAUGGAACCAACGAACGAAGAAUUUAUAGGGUCCUAAAGAAGAUCCACGUUUGGAACUCUCAAGGAAGGAAUGGUUUGAAGACAAGGAGUGUCUUGAUAUUUAAUACUUUAUUUGUAUUUAAUACUUUAUUUAGAAUUAAAAAAUGUUAUAUUUAAUACUUUAUUUGUAUUGGAGUUACUACUUUUGAUUUUUAAUACUAAAAAUUAUAUGUUAUGUUUAA